RNAcentral lists this ribosomal RNA (701 nucleotides) under uncultured bacterium. Its description in RNAcentral is "bacterial SSU rRNA". It matches the Rfam family "Bacterial small subunit ribosomal RNA", at positions 113 to 810 of the family's 1533-position model. The record is from RNAcentral.
ACACGUAUGCAACCUGUCCGGUACAGGGGGAUAAGCGGCGGAAACGCCGUCUAAUACCGCGUGACAACCCGAGGGGGCAUCCCCUUGGGUUCAAAGGAGAGAUCCGGUACCGGCUGGGCAUGCGGCGCAUUAGCUAGUUGGCGGGGCAACGGCCCACCAAGGCGACGAUGCGUAGGGGUUCUGAGAGGAAGGUCCCCCACACUGGAACUGAGACACGGUCCAGACUCCUACGGGAGGCAGCAGUGAGGAAUAUUGGUCAAUGGGCGCAAGCCUGAACCAGCCAAGUCGCGUGAGGGAAGACAGCCCUACGGGUUGUAAACCUCUUUUGCCGGGGAGCAAGCCUGAGCACGUGUGCCCAGGCGGAGAGUACCCGGAGAAAAAGCAUCGGCUAACUCCGUGCCAGCAGCCGCGGUAAUACGGAGGAUGCGAGCGUUAUCCGGAUUUAUUGGGUUUAAAGGGUGCGCAGGCGGGCUGUUAAGCCGGCGGUAAAAAUUCAGGGCUCAACCCUGUCGAGCCGUCGGAACUGGCAGUCUUGAGUGGGCGAGAAGUAUGCGGAAUGCGUGGUGUAGCGGUGAAAUGCAUAGAUAUCACGCAGAACGCCGAUUGCGAAGGCAGCAUACCGGCGCCCAACUGACGCUGAGGCACGAAAGCGUGGGGAUCGAACAGGAUUAGAUACCCUGGUAGUCCACGCAGUAAACGAU